UGAAAUGCAUUUUGAUAUAUUUAAAAUAGGUUAUAAAUGGUGCACUAAGUGCAGAUGGAGAGAUAAUUGUUAUUCUUGCCAAACACAGCUUUAGAAUAAAAGUGUAUCAGUAGGAAAUCAAAACUCAGCUUAGUGGUUAGAUACGUGGCUUUUAACUAGAGAUAAUGACCCAGUAAUUUAGCAGAUGCUGGCAAAUAUUUAUUAUCCUAGCUCUACAAUUCAUCUUGGCUAUAACGUGAUUAACCGAGCUAGUAUGCUUAUAUAGCAGAGCUUCAAAUUCUUAAGGUCAGUUCUCUCUUAAGUAAAACACAAUUAGUGAUAUACAACUCUGAAAUUUCUCCGAGCUGGAUUAAGCAAAUAAGAGUUAGAAGAAUACCCAAAUUUUUGGGAUUAUUGAGGAAGAAGAGCAGAAGCAAAAUACAACGGAAGCUAACGUCACAGUGAAGUUGAAAAUUCAAAGGUAAUUCUCUCUAUAUCGUGUAUAUACAGAUGCAUGUAUAUGAAAGGAGUGUGUUGAUUGAUGGUGAAUUUUUGGUUGAUGAAAGUCUUUAUGAGUUAUAUGUCUGUGAUGUUGAGUUAGUUGGUCGUAAAGUAAAUGGGUAAGUUUAAUUUUUUUUUUUUAGCAAUCGAUCAUGAAUGGGUUAUUGAAACUCACUGUUUGCUAAUAUCAAACUUUUAGAUUAAAGGAAGGCUAGUAUGUAUUUGUUUAUUUUGUUUAUGAUAAAUAUAUUUGGCUAAAUUGUGAAACCAACUGCUAUGAAAAUAGUGUUUUAGAACAGUAAGUAUAAGAUGUUUGUUAGAAGGUUUUAAUGAACUGAUUUGCUCAACAAUUGCUUAUUUAUCAGAGUUUAAGUUUGGGUUAUAUAUAUAUAUGCCAUGUAUCAGGGUAAGUAACUUUUAUGCCUUGUUUAAUGGAAGGAAAACUAUUUUUUUUUUUUUNNNNNNNNNNNNNNNNNNNNNNNNNNNNNNNNNNNNNNNNNNNNNNNNNNNNNNNNNNNNNNNNNNNNNNNNNNNNNNNNNNNNNNNNNNNNNNNNNNNNGGAUUUUGAUAUGUCAAUUUGUGUUGGCAAACUGUUUUGAGCAGUUUAAAAUGUUGAAGCUUGUAUGUUUUGUUAUUUGAUUGCUAUCAGACCUAAAUCUACUGACACUUGGUAAUUAUGUAGCAAGCAAAAGAAGGGCGCUGGGGUGAUUUGAGUUGGCCGGGGCUGCUGCAGGCAGCAGCAGCUAGCGCCCAGCGCUGUGCUGCGCUAUGCUGCAGAGCCAGUCUGGCAGUUUGUCACUAAUUUGGUUUGCAUGUUAUAUGUAAUGGCUGUCAUGUGCAGGUUAUUUUAAGAAGUGGGUGCUCUAUUUUAUUUUUCUAGUAAAGGGUGAAAAUAACUUUAUCAUUAGAAGGCCAAAAAUGACAAGAACUAAGAACAGAGCUGCUGCCCAUGGCAGCAGCAGUGGCUGAGUAUAGCCUUGGGUGGGAAGUCCUUUAUUGGUGCCGGCCAGCUUGUGUCUCUUUGUAAUUGAUAUAUAUGUAUCAGCUAUGCAAUCCUCCAAAAACAUGUGCUAACAGAUUAGAAUAAAAUGGGGAAAAAUGAAACUAGGUAAGACAUGGAAUCAGCAAAGUAGAAGGCUGAUGCCCACUGGCAGUAGCAGUUAGUCCAUCCGGCAACAAGAGGUUAAUAGCAGAUGGGAAAUCUCAUUUAAUUUCCAUGUAUAGGUUAAAAGCUUAAAAACAAGAAUGAGAUGAGAUUUAUGUAAGCAAGCAAGCUAAUUUGGAGGUUUAGCUGCUGCCCUGAAACAGCAGCGUGUACUAAUACAACAACAAGUACAAGCCUUAGAUUGCUAACAGUAGAAAAAAAAGAAGAAGCCAGUUAGUUUUGUUUUGUAACUCACGCAAUGCGCGGUGUAUAAUAUUAGAUAAUUGUUAUGGCAGUUUUGGAACAACUCGACUUGUAUUGAAACCACUGCACAUUUGCAGAAAUAGUUAUUAACUAACCACUAAUGCAAUGCUAAGCUAUAAAGUCAGAUAUAGUUGACUAAUAACAUGAAAAAUAAAAUGUUAAGAAAUUGUUAAUGCAUGUAAGUGAGCUUCUCGACCCAUUUAGCUAAAUUAUAAUAAAGAACAAAUAUAUAUAUAUAUAUAUAAAAGAAGUAAAGGAGAUAUGAACUAAAUUAUGAGAGAUUCAUAAACAGAAAUUAUGUUAGACCUUAUAAAAGAAAAAAAAGGCUAUUAUAAGAACAUGAGUGAGAUAUUUGAAAAAUGUAUCUUAAGUAUGAAGUUAUCAACUAAAUGAUCACUGUGAUUAUGUGAUAUGUGCACAUAUGAGCUACAUGACUUGUUUAUUUGGCUAAUAUGCUUGUAAAUGCAAAUAAUUGUGUAGGAUCUGUGAGAUACACAAGUUAAGUUGAAAUUGUACAAAUAGUCUACAAGCAAGGCAAGUAUCUAAAUCUUACUCUUUAUUGAGCAAGUAUUUUGAGAUUAUUCAUAUGUUGACAGGUUCUCUAAUUUCUAAACUGUCUUUCAUUAUUUAUGAAUAUUGUAAGAUUGAAUAAUCUUUUUAUUCCAAUCAGCUUCAAAAGAUUGGGUAAGCUAUUAUCUUAUGCAUGAGCAGGUUGCAAAAAAGUCUGAGCCAUUCCUUUUGGCCAGACACAGCUAUGAAAUAUUUCAGUUUCUUUAUAUUAGUCUUGAAAUAUUAUUGUGCCAUGAUUUAAGUUGUCCAGCUAUAUUGUUGUAAUUGGAAUCUAAAACUGAGAAUGAACAUACCCUUAAAUGGGAUAUUUUUAUUGCACUCUGGGAGUGGUGAUGUAGAACAUGAAAAUUGUUCUAGAAAAGAUAGUAUUGUUCAAUACAGGGCAUAAAGGGUUGAUCACCCUACGUGCUCGUAAGUUAAGACGGUUCAUCUGAUAAAAUUUCUGAUUGAACCUUUUCAAGAAAAGAAAAAUAUGUUCAUGGUCUUAAAACCUCUCAGUUAUUCAAUGUUAUGAUAUUUCAGAAAUAUGAAUGACUCAAGAUUUAUUGCUUUACAGAUUUGAUUCACUGUCAAAGCAUGCUUCAAUGAAAAUAUUUAUUUCUUGUUGAGCCUUAAAAAAUGCUAUUAUUUGCUGAGUAAUUAAAUGCUCAUACUUGUUUUAUUAUAAAUGUUUUCAGCUGAGUAGACUCGGGCAGAAGGGUCUGGAAAAGGCAAGGGAAAAGGAAAAAUAGUAGAAUAGCUGAGGGUUGAUGUAAUAGUUGGUUUACAUGUUUUAAAUACUAAACUAUCAUGUAAUAAACGUGUAAAGGUCUACGUAUCUGGGACUAGAAGAACUUUGAUGUAAUAACUUUACUAGUUUAUGAUUAUUGUGUUCUGAACCUUUUAUAUUGUGAGCACUGAAUAAGGGUUUCAAGUAUCCGAAUUUGGGGGCGUCACAGAUUGGGCUGAAGAAUCUAAGCUCUAUGGUCUUUAUAUCAUCCUCAUUUGAAGUGGCUGAGAAAUGAUUAGAACUAGGGUUUUAAAAAAUUAUCGAAAUUGGCUUCGAUUAGGGGUGUAACAUUAAGGCUUUUGUUGGGUUUUUGCUUUUCAGGUUAGUGCGAACCAAGCGUUGAUCUUAUAUGAUUACAUCACGUUCAAGAUCUGCGUCAAUUGCUUCAAAACAGCGGAUGUAUUUUUGUUUCCAAAAAGGAUGGAUCAAGAGUAAGAAGAUUUUAUAGCUACCGCAAUUAUGGGGUAAGUGUCCUUUCCUUAUUUGUUGUGAAUUCAGUCAUCUCUCAUCUGUUUUGAUUUUUUUUUCCUUUUUCCAUUUUUGAUAGGAUUUUGUGAGAUAUUGUGACUAUUUGUGAAUGAUUGGAAUUGCCUUGUAAUGAAGAUGAAGCAAUGGAAUGUGAUGAAUAACAAAAUUGAAGAAUUGAGCUUACUGAAAAAUAUGAAAAGGGAAACACUUAAAUGGAAGAUGGAGAUUGAUAGGCUUAAAGAGGCAAUUCAACAAUAAAUCAAUUAAGUUUUCUUUUGUUUUUGAGUUUAUAAAAUAAAAUGUGAUUUUUGAAUUUAGAUUACUGCUUAAGAAUUUGGAAGGAGGGUCCAUUUAAGCCUGCAAGUAAUGAGUAAUUCAAGGACCGUGAGCUAUACAAAUCAUUUCCCCACGUCAAUUUUAAGUCGGUGAACAUGGAUGGACUAAUGGAUAAUGUCAGUUAUUGAAAAGCCCGCGUAAAAUGAAAAGUUAGCCUGUUAGGUGGGAAUUAUUAAUAAUAAUGCGUAUGAAUGAGGUUGUGCCACGACUUUGAAAUACUCCCCAUCUUAUAAUAAAAAGAGUCUCAUUUAAAUUUUUUUAAAUUAUAAAUUUAAUAGUUAUGUGAAUUUAUUUAAGUAUUUAAAAUAAUAAAUCUAAUUAAUAUUAUUUUUUAGAUAAUUUAUAAUAUUUGUAAUUAAAUUAGGGGAAAAUAUUUGAAUUUAUAUCAAUUUUUAAAUUUGAAAAUUG
This 4439-nucleotide long non-coding RNA is filed under the name Panax ginseng (ginseng). RNAcentral's name for it is "long non-coding RNA (PGIN_LNC010044)". The record is from RNAcentral. Lineage: Eukaryota; Viridiplantae; Streptophyta; Magnoliopsida; Apiales; Araliaceae.